Molecule: ribosomal RNA, 467 nt
Filed under: uncultured bacterium
Lineage: Bacteria
Description: partial 16S ribosomal RNA
Rfam family: Bacterial small subunit ribosomal RNA
Source: RNAcentral
GACGAACGCUGGCGGCGUGCUUAACACAUGCAAGUCGAACGGAAAGGCCUCUUUCGGGGGGUACUCGAGUGGCGAACGGGUGAGUAACACGUGAGUAACCUGCCCUUGACUUUGGGAUAACUUCAGGAAACUGGGGCUAAUACCGGAUAGGAGCUCCUGCUGCAUGGUGGGGGUUGGAAAGUUUCGGCGGUUGGGGAUGGACUCGCGGCUUAUCAGCGUGUUGGUGGGGUAGUGGCUUACCAAGGCUUUGACGGGUAGCCGGCCUGAGAGGGUGACCGGCCACAUUGGGACUGAGAUACGGCCCAGACUCCUACGGGAGGCAGCAGUGGGGAAUAUUGCACAAUGGGUGGAAGCCUGAUGCAGCAACGCCGUGUGCGGGAUGACGGCCUUCGGGUUGUAAACCGCUUUCGCUCAUGACGAAGCUUUGUGUGACGGUAGUGGGUAAAGAAGCACCGGCUAACUACGUG